AUUGAACGCUAGCGGGAUGCCUUACACAUGCAAGUCGAACGGCAGCACGGACUUCGGUCUGGUGGCGAGUGGCGAACGGGUGAGUAAUGUAUCGGAACGUGCCUAGUAGCGGGGGAUAACUACGCGAAAGCGUAGCUAAUACCGCAUACGCCCUACGGGGGAAAGCAGGGGAUCGCAAGACCUUGCACUAUUAGAGCGGCCGAUAUCGGAUUAGCUAGUUGGUGGGGUAACGGCUCACCAAGGCGACGAUCCGUAGCUGGUUUGAGAGGACGACCAGCCACACUGGGACUGAGACACGGCCCAGACUCCUACGGGAGGCAGCAGUGGGGAAUUUUGGACAAUGGGGGAAACCCUGAUCCAGCCAUCCCGCGUGUGCGAUGAAGGCCUUCGGGUUGUAAAGCACUUUUGGCAGGAAAGAAACGUCAUGGGCUAAUACCCCGUGAAACUGACGGUACCUGCAGAAUAAGCACCGGCUAACUACGUGCCAGCAGCCGCGGUAAUACGUAGGGUGCAAGCGUUAAUCGGAAUUACUGGGCGUAAAGCGUGCGCAGGCGGUUCGGAAAGAAAGAUGUGAAAUCCCAGAGCUUAACUUUGGAAC
This 598-nucleotide ribosomal RNA is filed under the name uncultured bacterium. RNAcentral describes it as "bacterial SSU rRNA". It matches the Rfam family "Bacterial small subunit ribosomal RNA", at positions 28 to 621 of the family's 1533-position model. The record is from RNAcentral.